Molecule: unclassified non-coding RNA, 392 nt
Filed under: soil metagenome
Description: partial contains 5.8S ribosomal RNA, internal transcribed spacer 2, and large subunit ribosomal RNA
Rfam family: 5.8S ribosomal RNA (bases 1-122)
Source: RNAcentral
GAUGAAGAACGCAGUGAAAUGCGAUACUUGGUGUGAAUUGCAGAAUCCCGUGAACCAUCGAAUCUUUGAACGCAAGUUGCGCCCGAAGCCAUUAGGCCGAGGGCACGCCUGCCUGGGCGUCACACGUCGUUGCCCCCCCCAUCUACUCCUUCGGGAUUGCGGGGGGCGGAUGAUGGCCUCCCGUGCGCCUCGCCGCGCGGUAGGCAUAAAUGCCAAGUCCUCGGCGAUGCACGCCACGACAAUCGGUGGUUGCGAAACCUCGGUUGCCCGUCGUGUGCGGUCGUCGCGCAUCGAGGGCUCGAAAAAAUUGCCGGGUUCCGGCUCGGCUUUCAACGCGACCCCAGGUCAGGCGGGGUUACCCGCUGAAUUUAAGCAUAUCAAUAAGCGGAGGA